This 442-nucleotide ribosomal RNA is filed under the name uncultured bacterium. RNAcentral describes it as "bacterial SSU rRNA". It matches the Rfam family "Bacterial small subunit ribosomal RNA", at positions 64 to 524 of the family's 1533-position model. The record is from RNAcentral.
GAGCGGAAAGGCCCUUCGGGGUACUCGAGCGGCGAACGGGUGAGUAACACGUGAGCAAUCUGCCCUUGGCUUCGGGAUAGCUCCGGGAAACCGGAAUUAAUACCGGAUAUGACUGUGGCCGGCAUCGGCUGUGGUGGAAAGUUUUUCGGCUGGGGAUGAGCUCGCGGCCUAUCAGCUUGUUGGUGGGGUGAUGGCCUACCAAGGCGACGACGGGUAGCCGGCCUGAGAGGGCGACCGGCCACACUGGGACUGAGACACGGCCCAGACUCCUACGGGAGGCAGCAGUGGGGAAUAUUGCGCAAUGGGCGGAAGCCUGACGCAGCGACGCCGCGUGGGGGAUGAAGGCCUUCGGGUUGUAAACCCCUUUCAGCAGGGACGAAGCGGGAGUGACGGUACCUGCAGAAGAAGCGCCGGCUAACUACGUGCCAGCAGCCGCGGUAAU